UAAGGCCAAAUAAAAAAGUAUGUGUGGUUCCAGUUACAUCUGAAAAAAAGUUAGGGUAGGUAGGUAGGGAUUUUUUUUUAUUUUAUGUUUUUUAUUUACAUUGAGUCUAUGGAAGCAACAUUCUGACUUUAACAGUGCUUAAUGAAAAAUGACAAUAAAAUCUUUAGGGUAGGUUAUUUUUAAGCCGAAAAAGUAGGGACA
Molecule: long non-coding RNA, 201 nt
Filed under: Mytilus galloprovincialis (Mediterranean mussel)
Lineage: Eukaryota; Metazoa; Mollusca; Bivalvia; Mytilida; Mytilidae
Source: RNAcentral